UACAGAGGAUGCAAGCGUUAUCCGGAAUGAUUGGGCGUAAAGCGUCCGCAGGUGGCUGUGUAAGUCUGCUGUCAAAGAGCAAAGCUCAACUUUGUAAAGGCAGUGGGAACUACACGGCUAGAGUGCGUUCGGGGCAGAGGGAAUUCCUGGUGUAGCGGUGAAAUGCGUAGAGAUCAGGAAGAACACCGGUGGCGAAGGCGCUCUGCUAGGCCGCAACUGACACUGAGGGACGAAAGCUAGGGGAGCGAAUGGG
This 253-nucleotide ribosomal RNA is filed under the name uncultured bacterium. RNAcentral describes it as "partial 16S ribosomal RNA". It matches the Rfam family "Bacterial small subunit ribosomal RNA", at positions 524 to 776 of the family's 1533-position model. The record is from RNAcentral.